AGUGACUGGGGGACAAAAACCAGCAGGAUCUACUGUAAGGAUUGUGUUCCAGGGACUUUGCCAGUUUUGUUGGAUUAGAAUGUAGGCUCCCUCAUUGGACUGGAGAAGAAGACAAAUAGAAUUGCUGCAGGCUGUGCAAAAUGAAGACUGUCAUAGCAAGGAUUCAAGGGGAGUUUAAAGAAGACUGCUUCCCAACUUUAAGGAGCUGGAAUGCCUGACAGAGGGUUUGGACAUCAUUCCGUGUAGUGAGAAAGAAGAAAACUGCCUCAUUCAGUGCAGAGGUUGGAUGGUGCUCAAGGAAACAGCUACCACAUGUGAUGGAAGAAAUCCAAGUUAAACACUUUCACCAGAGCAUGCUCCAAGAUAGAUGACUAGGCCUCAGGCUUGGCCAAUACAAUACAUUUCCAUUCUCUAUUUAUUUUUGUAGUUCAAAGAUCUGGCAGUAACCGAUUUGAUGCCUGCCAUCAGGACCAGUACACUUCUGAUUACUGCCGUGAGAUUUUCAAGCCCACAGACAGCAUGUACUCCAGCAUAUGUCAGCUACCAAGAUAGACUAUGUACAAAUAGCAGGAGGAUUCUCUGCAAAUGGAAGCUGGCUUUUUUCUUUCACUUUGAAACCUCUGAUGAUAGGCUGCCAACUUGCAGACCUUGCUUAAAUCACAGCAACCACAUAAAAGGGUUUUUUUUGUUUAUCUUAGGUCAUUUAGGAAACCAGUGAUAAGUUUGCCGUGAAAAAUUCCAUCUUCUCCCCAAAGUUGGCAUGUUCAUCCCAAGCUACAGGCUUUGAUUUCAUUUUAAGUACAGUUAUGCCAUAUAGAGCUUUCCUUUAUGGGCUUUCCUUUCCUACUAGCAAAUGAUUUCUUUCCCCUCAGGAACAUAGUAUAAGUUAACUAGCAGGUCUUAGAAAACAAAGGACAACUACUUCAUCCCCAUACAAAAGGGAUGGUCAAACAGUGCCUGGUUCAAGAUUCUAAGUGGAAGACUGGGCAAAUGUAUAGGAGACAGAGUGGAAGGAAUGGCUGAAGUAGAAUCAGUGGCCCCUUGCGUGUGUCCCUGUAGAGUGGGGGAGGACAGGAUGGAGAAGAACCUUUAAUCCCUACUCUGGCUUCUCAUGCCCUGCCACUUCCACAUUGUCUGCAAUAAGCUGGGCUCAGCUAUGUAGGAGGUGAUUGAUUCCUACCUGGCACCCUCUUUGUGUAAAGCAACUGGACUGCUUCUCCUGCCAAAGACCUCUGAAGUGUGGGGCAAAUCCAGCCCCAGCCUCCACCAAUCUGUUGUUUGCUACAGUUGCAGAAAAAACACCCAUCUGAGGAACGCUUGUGAACACUUACAUUACCUUAUGUUCAAACGCAUUCCCCCUUCUAAUAAGAAGCCAUCAGACUACUGUACAGCAAAAAUUUAUUAGAGAAUAGACUCUUGAUUUUUACAAACACAUGCUUUACAUUGCUCCUUGAAUAGUCCCAUUGAAACCAAUAGGAUUGCUCAUAUGAGUAAAGUUAAGCAACUGCAAGAUCAGGACCUAACAGAUUAAUUCAGGUAUUAUUUUGCUGGUGUUAAAAAAAAGUAGUACACGCACAAAGAAAAUAAACAUUCAACCCAACAGAUAAAAUUACUGCAAAUGUAUCUUCUAUUAUCUAUUUUAGCUACAGUUUUCCACUGAUUAUGUGGAUAAUUGAAAAUUUUACUACUGUUCUUAUAAAUGUGAGUAAUUUCUUUCUGUCUUGUGUCAGCCAAAGACUGUUGGAUUCCCAUGGUGUAAUGAUCCCUGUUGUGGUUGUCUGCAAAGAUUUUGGUUGUUUGGUUUUGUUCUCAUUUGUUCACUGAUGCUUCAUAAAGCUACUACAGUUUCCCACACUUUCCCCCCCCUGAUAAUCUUUCAUUGUUAACAUACAUGAUGUUAUGUGAAGGAUUGAAAGCCACAGGGGGCAAGGGGAAGAAUAAAGAUGUUGAAUUGAUCUGAGGCUUGUGGGUUUAGGGUGCUGUCUGUGAUAUAUAACGGAACAUGUGUUGGAGAAGAAUGUUGGCCACAGGUCACUACAGAACCUUUGGAGAAGGAUUUGGUAAGAGUGAUAUGGGUGAGAGACAAAUUGUGGACAGGUCUGAUGGUGGUGGGUUACACAGAGUCACAAAUGUCAGACAAGGGCAUGAGUGCAGGCACAGAGGGAAAUAUUCUUUUGACUUCUACAGAAAGGAGCAUAAUUUUCAGACUCAAGAUUAUUAUUUUCAAUACAACCAUUUUUCCUCCUGAGAUCUAGUUUAUAUUACCAUGUCCACUUUUGACUGCUCAGUUCUCCCUAUAAUUCAAUGUUCCUCUCUUAAAAAUUGCUGAGAUCUCAUUGCAGAGAUCACAGCACAACAUCAUUUUUCAUCUCUACUAUAUCCUGUUUAGUCUGGGCUUGUUCAUGUUCAUAAGAAUACUUGAAAUACUGUCUUGCAGAAUAAUCUAAUGAAUAUACAAAAGUGACAUGCAAUAAUUUCAGUUUUCAUGGGAGAUCACAUGAUAUCUUUCACAAAAACUCACCAUGUUGUGUCCUCGUGCCAAUUUAUCCCUCUGAGUAAGAUGGCGUUCUCCUUAGUGAGAAAGAUAAUGAUGCGAUUCUAUUAUAAAUCUCACAAUAUCUUGCAAAUGUGCAAUUACUCUUCACAAGUGCCCAGAUGGGGAUUAUAUCUCAUUAUAUCAAGUGCUGUGCAAAAAACCAAAAUGUCUGUCUCUAAUUUAUGGGCUUGGAAGCAUCAGAAAGAUCACAUCCACUGAUGAAUAAACCACAAAUGGUUCAGAUUGAAUAUGUACCCAAAUGAUUGCAUGCUUAUCUUAACCUUGUCCAAAAUUUGUAAGCCUCUUGAGUAUGCAAAACUAGGCUAAAGCCACAAUAGCUUCCUCAUAAGGUUUCAAGUGUAUCCUGCUUUCACUUGUGUUGGAAAUGUGUCUGAAAGACAGUCCUUCUGGUAGUACAUUAGCACUUUCAUUUCUGAACCUUUUCCUAUCCAGGAAGUACAGUGUGAAAAUGGAAAAUGUUUUUUAAAAUAUAAUUUCAGAAAAAGUCUGUUUCGGAUAAGUUUUAAAUAUUGAGUAAAGAUUUGUAUUGUAUUUCCUGGUUCACCCAGGAAUGUCCAGCCUUUUUUAUUCAAGCCUAAACAGAACUCUCUAACUCCUAGCAUCUUUUUCUAACACAAAAAACAGUCCAAUUGCUUCUAUUUAGAAUUUCAAAACACACUCACUACAUAAUUCUUUUCCUUCUUUUCCCACUGCAGCAUUCUGUAGAUUUACUUUAUCAUUGGACUGUCUCUCUAGAGAAACCACUAGUUACCAAUCUGCAAACUUUGCUUAUUUCAAUUUAAUUUGCCUCUGCUAUAGAACAUUUUGGGAGUUUAUCCCAAAGGAAGUGCCCAUAGCAGACAACCUCAAAUGAAGGCAAAGGAAUAAAAUACGUAGAUCUUUGUAUUUUACUGCUGUACUCAGAAUAAUUGUUAAGAGGUUCAAUUUCAAUUCUCUCUCAGCCUCCCCUCCCACCCCACUCCCCAGUUUUGGGGAAGCCGAUAUGCUAACAUUGGGAAAGAAAACUAAACCUUUUUUUGUUCCUUAGCUCUUUUCUGUAGAGACCACAGUUUAGCCUUUUGGGGAUUUGGAUAUAAUAUUAUUUGGAGGUAAGUCUCUGAUAGGAGAGUCACAAUAUCUGUAAAGAAAAAAAGUUUUAGGAAAUCUCUCUCUCAUUUUCACACACAAGUUAUAACCCUUGAAACAUUUGAGAGUGUUAUCAGUACUAAGUCUUUUAAAGACUAUAUGUUCAGGAUUCCCCCUCCCCAACCAAUUUUAGUACUUGUUACGAUCAAAUUCAAAUGCAAAAAUAUAAUUAUGGGUGCACACAUACAUGCACUUCCCUGUCUCUGUAGAAUGGUGUCCAAACCUUCUUCUGGACACACAAACUCUGUAAAGUUGGGAAGCAAGUGAUUCAUAGUCCCACAGUCAUUCAAACUCCCCUUGCAGAAUUGUUAAUUAAGUUCCAUUUACUGGAUUUUUAUCAGCCUUAAUGAUACAUAAACCAGAGAUAAUGAAGCCUGAUAUUCAUAUCAGCUUGAGUUUGUAGGGAUGACAGUUAGAACCCCCCUUCCCCUU
Molecule: long non-coding RNA, 4114 nt
Organism: Chrysemys picta bellii (western painted turtle)
Lineage: Eukaryota; Metazoa; Chordata; Testudines; Emydidae
Source: RefSeq, a predicted model, not a curated record